Molecule: ribosomal RNA, 859 nt
Filed under: uncultured bacterium
Lineage: Bacteria
Description: bacterial SSU rRNA
Rfam family: Bacterial small subunit ribosomal RNA
Source: RNAcentral
AGAGUUUGAUCUGGCUCAGAACGAACGCUGGCGGCAGGCUUAACACAUGCAAGUCGAACGCUCGUAGCAAUACGGGAGUGGCAGACGGGUGAGUAACGCGUGGGAACAUACCCUCCGGUUCGGAAUAGCUCAGGGAAACUUGGAUUAAUACCGGAUACGGCUGAGAGGCGAAAGAUUUAUCGCCGGAGGAUUGGCCCGCGUUCGAUUAGCUUGUUGGUGAGGUAACGGCUCACCAAGGCGAUGAUCGAUAGCUGGUCUGAGAGGAUGAUCAGCCACAUUGGGACUGAGACACGGCCCAAACUCCUACGGGAGGCAGCAGUGGGGAAUAUUGGACAAUGGGCGCAAGCCUGAUCCAGCCAUGCCGCGUGAGUGAUGACGGCCUUAGGGUUGUAAAGCUCUUUCGCUCGGGACGAUAAUGACGGUACCGAGAUAAGAAGCCCCGGCUAACUUCGUGCCAGCAGCCGCGGUAAUACGAAGGGGGCUAGCGUUGUUCGGAAUUACUGGGCGUAAAGCGCGUGUAGGCGGGUCUUUAAGUCAGGGGUGAAAUGCCAAGGCUCAACCUUGGAACUGCCUUUGAUACUGGAGAUCUUGAGUCCGGGAGAGGUGAGUGGAAUUGCGAGUGUAGAGGUGAAAUUCGUAGAUAUUCGCAAGAACACCAGUGGCGAAGGCGGCUCACUGGCCCGGAACUGACGCUGAGACGCGAAAGCGUGGGGAGCAAACAGGAUUAGAUACCCUGGUAGUCCACGCUGUAAACGAUGGAUGCUAGCCGUUGGGGAGCUUGCUCUUCAGUGGCGCAGCUAACGCUUUAAGCAUCCCGCCUGGGGAGUACGGUCGCAAGAUUAAAACUCAAAGGAAUGAC